AUAUAUUUGUAAAAUAUAGCAAAAUUAGACUUUUUAGAUUCAGAAAAAAAUUUAAAAGAUUAAUAUAUAUUUUAUGGUAAUUAUUUAAUAAAGAAUUCAUAACAAAACAAACUAAAUAUAUAUAAGUAAAGAGAAGAAGAAACAAAAGUUAUUUUUGUCUUUAUUUGACUAUAUGACAAAACAACAGAAGGUUAUAAAGGUCAUUCACUAAAAUCUCUAUUAGAUAGAAAGUUGUAUUAGAGAGGAAAGAGAAAAGUGUCUAUUCUCCCUAUUUCUAAAAAAACUACCUACUUUGCAAAUUAUUUGUGAAAAAAGUGUCUAGUUUCCAACUUAUUUCUAAAAAAUUCUUCCUAAACUUCUUCCAAAUUGGGAUGUUAACUUUGAAACGCAACGAUGCCUCUAAAUCCUCCUGAUAUUGUUGGGCUGAGGAGAGAUGCUAUGGUAAUAGAGGUUGUGAAU
Molecule: small RNA, 459 nt
Filed under: Arabidopsis thaliana (thale cress)
Lineage: Eukaryota; Viridiplantae; Streptophyta; Magnoliopsida; Brassicales; Brassicaceae
Description: ATSL213600
Source: RNAcentral